GAUGAAGAACGUAGCGAAAUGCGAUACUUGGUGUGAAUUGCAGAAUCCCGUGAACCAUCGAGUCUUUGAACGCAAGUUGCGCCCGAAGCCAUUAGGCCGAGGGCACGCCUGCCUGGGCGUCACACGUCGUUGCCCCCCCAUCUACUCCGUCGGGAUUGCGGGGGGCGGAUGAUGGCCUCCCGUGCGCCUCGCCGCGCGGUUGGCAUAAAUGCCAAGUCCUCGGCGACGCACGCCACGACAAUCGGUGGUUGCGAAACCUCGGUUGCCCGUCGUGUGCGGUCGUCGCGCAUCGAGGGCUCGAAAAAAUUGCCGGGUUCCGGCUCGGCUUUCAACGCGACCCCAGGUCAGGCGGGGUUACCCGCUGAAUUUAAGCAUAUCAAUAAGCGGAGGA
RNAcentral lists this unclassified non-coding RNA (391 nucleotides) under soil metagenome. RNAcentral's name for it is "partial contains 5.8S ribosomal RNA, internal transcribed spacer 2, and large subunit ribosomal RNA". The stretch from base 1 to 122 matches the Rfam family "5.8S ribosomal RNA", at positions 35 to 154 of the family's 154-position model. The record is from RNAcentral.